GCGUUCGUGGUGUAGUGGUCAGCACGCUGGGCGCGUAUUCCAGAGGCCCGUGGUUCGAGUCCUGACGGAAGCG
RNAcentral lists this transfer RNA (73 nucleotides) under Stegodyphus mimosarum. It matches the Rfam family "tRNA". From Rfam's summary of the family: Transfer RNA (tRNA) molecules are approximately 80 nucleotides in length. The record is from Rfam by way of RNAcentral. Lineage: Eukaryota; Metazoa; Arthropoda; Arachnida; Araneae; Eresidae.